UACGUAGGGGGCAAGCGUUGUCCGGAAUCAUUGGGCGUAAAGAGCGCGUAGGCGGUCCGGUAAGUCGGUUGUGAAAACUGGGGGCUCAACCCUCAGAGGCCGACCGAUACUGUCGGGCUAGAGUCCGGAAGAGGCGAGUGGAAUUCCUGGUGUAGCGGUGAAAUGCGCAGAUAUCAGGAGGAACACCAAUGGCGAAGGCAGCUCGCUGGGACGUGACUGACGCUGAGGCGCGAAAGCUAGGGGAGCAAACGGG
Molecule: ribosomal RNA, 253 nt
Filed under: uncultured bacterium
Lineage: Bacteria
Description: partial 16S ribosomal RNA
Rfam family: Bacterial small subunit ribosomal RNA
Source: RNAcentral